This 446-nucleotide ribosomal RNA is filed under the name uncultured bacterium. RNAcentral describes it as "partial 16S ribosomal RNA". It matches the Rfam family "Bacterial small subunit ribosomal RNA", at positions 338 to 795 of the family's 1533-position model. The record is from RNAcentral.
CCUACGGGUGGCUGCAGUCGAGAAUCAUUCACAAUGGGGGAAACCCUGAUGGUGCGACGCCGCGUGGGGGAAUGAAGUUCUUCGGAUUGUAAACCCCUGUCAUGUGGGAGCAAAUUAAAAAGAUAGUACCACAAGAGGAAGAGACGGCUAACUCUGUGCCAGCAGCCGCGUGAAUACAGAGGUCUCAAGCGUUGUUCGGAAUCACUGGGCGUAAAGCGUGCGUAGGCUGUUUCGUAAGUCGUGUGUGAAAGGCGCGGGCUCAACCCGCGGACGGCACAUGAUACUGGGAGACUAGAGUAAGGGAGGGGGAACCGGAAUUCUCGGUGUAGCAGUGAAAUGCGUAGAUAUCGAGAGGAACACUCGUGGCGAAGGCGGGUUCCUGGACAUUAACUGACGCUGAGGCACGAAGGCCAGGGGAGCGAAAGGGAUUAGAUACCCUAGUAGUC